Molecule: long non-coding RNA, 273 nt
Organism: Neltuma alba
Lineage: Eukaryota; Viridiplantae; Streptophyta; Magnoliopsida; Fabales; Fabaceae
Exons: 3
Source: RefSeq, a predicted model, not a curated record
UCUUGCAGUAAUUUGAGAGGCAACAAGCUUACUGGUUCAAUUCCAAAUACUUUAAAGGAGAAGUCAGAUUUGGAAAUGAGUUUGGAUGGUAACCCUGAUCUUUGCUUGACGGAUCGAUGCAAAAAACACAAGUUCGCUAUUCCCCUAAUACCCUCUGUCUCUGCUUUGAUUGUUGUAAUCUUGGUUUUGCUUGGAACAUGGAUCUUUAGGAUAAGAAGACUGAAAGGGGAUUUUACUGGGCAUGAAUCAUCAAAAUUAAGAAGUAAAGCAUUU